UCAUCUGGCCUCCUGUUCCAGUGCUUCCAGGGGAUCCACGUUCAGAAGCUGACUCUGCAGGCAAGACCGACGUUAUUUUCCUGGUGGCUGUGUUCAAAACCACCCAAAGGGUUUGAGAAAUACUUUAAGAGGAGUGGAAGGAACACAAACUGAGAAACAUCAACAGCACCAAAAAAAGAGACUGGUGAACUAGAGAAUGCUGAGUCUGGAGGAGACGGAGGCAGGAGAGGAGGGAAGCAGGAUAACGUUGCCUGGUGGAGGCGGAUGCAGAAGGGGGGACUUCCCCUGGGAUGACGAGGAUUUCCGCAGUCUGGCCCUUUUGGGGGCAGGCGUUGCCAUGGGAUUUUUCUACCUCUAUUUUCGAGAUCCUGGAAGAGAAAUCACGUGGAAGCACUUUGUACAGUAUUACCUGGCCAGAGGUCUGGUGGACCGGCUGGAAGUCGUGAACAAACAAUCUGUGCGUGUUAUUCCUGCCCCUGGGACCUCUUCUGAAGUGAGGGGUGAAUUUAAGGCUGAGUAUUGCAGACAUAAGUUUAUUUCGUGUAAAAAUGUAGUUUUCUAUUUUUUUCAGUAAAAUACUCCCUUAGUAUCCAUC
This 595-nucleotide long non-coding RNA is filed under the name Homo sapiens (human). Its description in RNAcentral is "non-protein coding lnc-DEF8-2:14". The record is from RNAcentral. Lineage: Eukaryota; Metazoa; Chordata; Mammalia; Primates; Hominidae.